GCUAUUUUGGCAGAUAAUAUGCAUUAAAUUUAGGAUUUAAUUAUAUAGUAGAUCUAUAAAUAGUAAAAUAAUUUUAGUGGCUAAUUAUUUU
RNAcentral lists this transfer RNA (91 nucleotides) under Potamon potamios. RNAcentral describes it as "tRNA-Leu". The record is from RNAcentral. Lineage: Eukaryota; Metazoa; Arthropoda; Malacostraca; Decapoda; Potamidae.